CCUACGGGUGGCAGCAGUGAGGAAUAUUGGUCAAUGGGCGCGAGCCUGAACCAGCCAAGCAGCGUGAAGGAUGACUGUCCUACGGGUUGUAAACUUCUUUUAUAAAGGAAUAAAGUGAGGCACGUGUGCCUUUUUGUAUGUACUUUAUGAAUAAGGAUCGGCUAACUCCGUGCCAGCAGCCGCGGUAAUACGGAGGCUGCGAGCGUUAUCCGGAGUUAUUGGGUUUAAAGGGCGCGUAGAUUGGUUGUCAAGUCAGUUGUGAAAGUUUGCGGCUCAACCGUAAAAUUGCAAUUGAGACUGGCAGCCUUGAGGACAGGUGAGGUAGGCGGAAUUCGUGGUGUAGCGGUGAAAUGCUUAGAUAUCACGAAGAACUCCGAUUGCGAAGGCAGCGUACUAAAC
RNAcentral lists this ribosomal RNA (399 nucleotides) under uncultured bacterium. Its description in RNAcentral is "partial 16S ribosomal RNA". It matches the Rfam family "Bacterial small subunit ribosomal RNA", at positions 338 to 734 of the family's 1533-position model. The record is from RNAcentral.